GAGUUAAUUAGUAAUCAAAUCACUAAUUAAACCUCUCAUAAAUACUGAGUCCAAAUUCGAUGGGCAAUCGGGCAUUAGAAUUCAUCGAAAUGUAACCCUGAUCGAAAAGUCCCAACCAGUGGGACUCUUGACCUCGAUACCCAUAAUGUGUGGAACUCGUGAUCAGAGAAUCCUGAUUCUCGAUCAUCGAGUCCCAAACAUGUAGGAUUCUACAUCAGCCAUCAGAUCGAUAGGAACCUCUAAUGUGUGUGACCCCGCAGGUUCGAACCUAAGUCGGUAGCAUAAGAACCAAUUCCUGUACUAAUCGAAGUGACCAUCUAGCAAUAGUACCCGACAUCCAGAU
RNAcentral lists this long non-coding RNA (343 nucleotides) under Elaeis guineensis (African oil palm). Its description in RNAcentral is "long non-coding RNA (EGUI_LNC043925)". Lineage: Eukaryota; Viridiplantae; Streptophyta; Magnoliopsida; Arecales; Arecaceae. The record is from RNAcentral.